GACGAACGCUGGCGGCGUGCUUAACACAUGCAAGUCGAACGAAGAGCGACGGAAGCUUGCUUCUAUCAAUCUUAGUGGCGAACGGGUGAGUAACGCGUAAUCAACCUGCCCUUCAGAGGGGGACAACAGUUGGAAACGACUGCUAAUACCGCAUACGAUCUAAUCUCGGCAUCGAGGAUAGAUGAAAGGUGGCCUCUACAUGUAAGCUAUCACUGAAGGAGGGGAUUGCGUCUGAUUAGCUAGUUGGAGGGGUAACGGCCCACCAAGGCGAUGAUCAGUAGCCGGUCUGAGAGGAUGAACGGCCACAUUGGGACUGAGACACGGCCCAGACUCCUACGGGAGGCAGCAGUGGGGAAUCUUCCGCAAUGGACGAAAGUCUGACGGAGCAACGCCGCGUGAGUGAUGACGGCCUUCGGGUUGUAAAGCUCUGUUAAUCGGGACGAAAGGCCUUCUUGCGAAUAUUGAGAAGGA
This 471-nucleotide ribosomal RNA is filed under the name Veillonella parvula. Its description in RNAcentral is "bacterial SSU rRNA". It matches the Rfam family "Bacterial small subunit ribosomal RNA", at positions 28 to 472 of the family's 1533-position model. The record is from RNAcentral. Lineage: Bacteria; Bacillati; Bacillota; Negativicutes; Veillonellales; Veillonellaceae.